This 8622-nucleotide long non-coding RNA is filed under the name Gallus gallus (chicken). The record is from RNAcentral. Lineage: Eukaryota; Metazoa; Chordata; Aves; Galliformes; Phasianidae.
AGGAGAGGGCGUCUGUUCCACAAAGGUUUGCAAAAUAAAAUUAAGAAGAAGAAGAAGAAGAAGAGGAAUGUAAUAACCGAGCGGUGGCGGAGAGGGGAAUCUGCAAUAACGUUGCAAAGCAUUGCACGCGCUGCGGGCCGCGCUGGGAGCGGCGGUUGCGCUCCGUCAUCGCCGGGGCUGCAGGGCGGGCACGCGCCGCUCCCCUCGCGCUCAGCCCCGCGCCGUAGCAAAGUCGCGGCGGAACGGCGUGCGCUGCUCCCUUCGGACGAGCAGUCUUUAUUUUGUAAUCCCACAUCCCGUGGGUUGUGAUAAUCCGAGAGCCCAAUCUCCUCCUCCUGUUUUGCACUUGGAGCGAUGUGCCCUGGGACACAUGGAACGAUGUGCAAAUCGCUCAUGGAAAAAGAGGGGAUGGAUGAAGUCAGGCUGUGAAGGACCGCAUCCAGCAGCAGACCUCCCCUGGCAGAGGCUCUCUUGCUCCCUUGGCUGGGACGAAGUGCUGUGGCCACAGGCAUAUGGGGCACACUGAGACAAACCGAGCAGCUUUUUGAGAAUGUCCUGAGACCCUUGGCAAUGGAGAGAGAUUGCAGUGCAAGCACUUUUCUGGAUUACUCUGUCACUGAUGUCAAAUCAAAGCAUCAAGGAUAUAAAUCUUCAGUAAACAUCUGGCCUCACUUCAGCCAGGUUAUGCAAUGCCUCAAGUACAUUCAGCAGCAGAUUAUGCUGCGUUCUCCUUUUGUGCAAUGCAAGCUAAUGUGAAUAUCAAGUCACAUCAGUGGUCUAGACAAGUAGUUGGGAGAUAAAGACAGCAACUCAAACCGGGAAGUUUGGCCUCUCAGGUAAGAUUACACUUUAAGUUCAAGGCUGCCAGCUGUCCUACAUUCAGAGGGUUAGGGGAACUACUCACAUUUUGGGGCUGAAAACUUCAAAUCUCCUUCUACCAGGAAAACAUUGCCCCUGUGGGUGUUUAUAUGGAACUGCAGCACAGUAACACAGCAGUGCUCUGGCUGUGCUGGGAUGCAGAAAUUUGGAUUCCUCUAUCCUUUUCUUAGAUAUUUUUCAGAUAAACAACAUCUCUUUCUCCCACUUGUAAUCACAUUGAUGAGCUUCACUUGUCAAAGCUGGAGCUCAAGGUGUGCCAUGGGGCUCAGAAGGAGGAAAAAUGGAAGAAAAACCUUCAGGGAAAAAAAAGGAAAGAGAUAAGCAAUAGGAUUUCAGUCAAGAACUGAGGCCGAUUUUGGUUUUCCUGGUAAUGGAUUUGUUUGAAGAGAAUAUAUUUAAUCUAUAGAUCCAACCUGGGAUUACAUGGAAAGGUCACUCAACUCCGCUCGUCCUCCCGGUCUCUCAUUUGUGUUUGACAUCAGCAAAGCCGGAAUUUAAAUAUUUGUUAUAUUUGGGGCAGAUGAUCCACCCAGACAGAAUCGAGGAUUAGGAAUUCAUUUUGUAAAGCAUUAUAUAAAAACACAACAAAAUUUGACCCCGGCUCCAACUCUCUCAGUCCACUUGAGUCUAAUUGUAAAAGCAGGAUCAAAAUGUAAAGAGAAGCAAAUGUGAUUGGUGCUAGUAGAUGUUUUUGCUUUUGCCUCUUCCCUUGUCCAAGAGCUUCUGUACACAGAGGUACACAGAAGCACUGAGGUAGCAGAGGGCUGCUCUCUGAUAGUUUGUACCAAACUCUCUCAUUCUGAUAGUUUGUACCAAACAAGAUUAUCAGGAGCAAUAAGAACGACCCCAGCUGUUGUCUGCUGGUAGAAACCUUUUAAACAGAACAAGGACAGAAAGUUAUUCAAUAAUUACAAGGAAGGAAGAGCACAUGGCUUGAAGUGACUGGCUGGUAAUCAAUUCCUGCUGUGAGCAGUUUUGUCCUGACCAUACGACACGUGAAGAAAAAUAAGAAGCAUGCAUAAAGAAAUCCGCGUAGUUUCAUAAAUGGAAAAGCAGAAAGUUCAUUCAAAGAUAAAUAACACAGCCAGCAUGACGUGAAAUCCCAUUGUUUUAAUACAAUAUCUACUUUAAUUGUAUCGGCUGUUUAAAACAAUGAAGAAUGUGCAAAUAAUCAUUUUUCCUAUCACUGCAGUGCUUCUCGUGUGUAUUUUGAAAACAUUUCUUAUCUGGUUUGCUUGUACAGCUCCAACUUAAAGGUCCCCAUGUUCCAUCAAGGUAUUGUCUCGUGACAGCUUUGUUGGUAUUCUCAGCACUGCUUGGGCACAGUGGCUGAUCUUUCAUCAGAAACUGUAAAGGAAGGAAGUGGUGCGUAUACAUAAUCCAGGAAUAAUGGGCAUUCCUUUUGAGUUUUAAUAAAGAAGUAAUUAGCUGUAAUUAGUAAUUUUCACGUAUGUAUUUAGAACGCAAGGAAUGGCAUUGGCCUUUGGAAUAGAUUUUGUCACUGAGUUUCAGGAAGUGAAAGAACUCUCAAAACCUCAGAAAAAGAGGGUGCAUGAGCACAACCACUGCAACACAUGGAGUUGUGAUUGUAAAAUUCAGUGACGUGGAGAAUGACAAGAGGAUGGAGCAUCUCCGAAAUGCUGAAGAGCCCAAAUUGCCCACUGAUAGUAGCAUACAUGAGAUUCAUCCCACAGAAAUCAAAUAUAAGGAUACUGAAACGUUUGGGAUGUGGAAACAAAUCACCCUGAGAGGGGAGGAAGGCAGCCCUUGUUGUUCUGGGUGGCAGUUCCACCGGCUGACCCCUGGAACGCACUUUGCAGUACUCCAGAAGAGCACUGGCAUGGGGUCAUCUGUUGAAAUAUUAACAGAAUCUGUCGGCAGUGUUUCCAGUUGUGAAACUUGGGUUUUUUUCCUUCCUUUCAUUCACUUGCAGCAGCAUUAUCUCUGCUUAUAGCCAGUUCUUUCCUUCCGAUAUCAACAGUGCUGUCUGCAGGAAGGAGCGGGGCUGGGAAGGUGGAGAUGACAGCAUCCGUGGGCAUACUGCAUUUCUCUUAGCUUCAAAGGGGCAAAGUGGGGAGUAAAUCCUUCACAGCACUGAAACAGUUACCAAAGUAAUCCUAUGGAGACUCUGCCAUCAUUACAGAUCCCCUUUGCUCCUAACCUUUGAAGAAUAGAUGGAGGUGCUGAGCAGAGACUCUGGAAAUCUUGAUUCAGUUCCCAGUGCCACCAAAGGCUCUGUGAUUUAUGGGGCAAAAAAUCUCAGCCUCUCUCAGUUCAGUUCCCCAUGCACAACCACGCCGAACGCUUUGGUGUAGCAGUGACCUCCUGUGAUGCUGUUUAUCUUAAGGGAGACUGCCCCUUGACUGAGCCCCCAGAUGACAGCAGUGUGAAAUGAGCUGAGCAGCGCCAUUCUCAGGCAGCUUGCUCCAAAAUAGCCCACACGCUGUGGUGGGUGUCCUUGCUCUUAAGUCCUUCUGAACGUAUUACUUCUUAUCAAAGGAUGUUUUUUCUUUGAGAUGAAGCCAUCUGCUCAAUAUUUAAUAGUAUUUUAUAAUCCCCUGCUUUCUCCCUAGAAAAGCCCUUAAUAUGAGUCAUAAUAUAAGCAUAAUUUGUAAAUGAAAUGUAGGCCUGGAUCAAUACCCUUCUCCUUGCUGCAGGGUAGCAUAAGCACUGAAAGAUGUUCUCCUAAUUGUUAUGAGGACAGGGAAUUGUUUCAUUUAUGUAAGUGAAAUGUGUUAUUAAGUUGUAUGAUGAUGCGAGUUGACUCUGAGGUUUCUGUACUUGUGGCAAAAUGUCAAUAUUCCUAAAGCAUCUUGCAGUCAGCAGUUUCAGAGGACAGGUUAUUUGCAAAAUAGCCUCCCCAUUAUAAUCCAGUGACACACAAAUCUGCUCCCCAGGUUCCAGCACUGGCCUUUCCAAAUCCAAAGUUAAAUGGAUUCUGCUCCGAGAGCUGAAUCGUCACUGAAACUGCUGUGCUUCAGACAGAUUUGCUGUUGCUGAGAAAAUAGGGCUCCUACCUCUUUCUACUGAAUGAUUUCCCAGGGCCCUAUCUUCAGUGCAUGGUAAUAUUGCAGUGUUGUAACUUCUGGAUAGCCUAAUAGACGAGUAAUCUUAGUUAGUGGAAACCCAGAUGCUCCCAGACUUACUUGGGCAGAACAGUAAUUUGCUGUAAAAACAGCCCCAUAAAUUCAAUAGGAGAGUGUAUGCAGGUACUGUUUAGUAUGUGUAAAUGUAUGCAAACGUCAUUAGCUAAUACCAAUGCCUUCAGCAAAGAUACUUCUUGAUUUCUACUACAGGAGAACUUAGGCUCUUUUCUGGUGGGCAGUAUGAUUUUUCUUUGUGUAAUUGUCAGACAUGAAAAUUACAUCUAAGCAUACACUUCAGGUCUUAUCCCAUCGUCAUGAAGUCCUGCAUGUUCAAGGGAUGCUGUUCACAAUCACUGAACUCUCCAAGUACUCAUACUUGCAGUGAGCCCCUCAGUAUGUACAGACACCCACUUGUCCUCUUUGUGAACUGUUGGUCAAUUUUUGCCUUGGAUCAUUUCUGAUAGGCAAGAAAACCAAGUAGGUACGUUCCUUAGGAAAACCACCUUUGCUUAGACUAUGCUGACCAGUUCCCAUUUCCCCCAGCACAGUGGAAAUCGUUUCUCCUGCUCAUGCCCUCACCAGCUUACUUUCGAUCUUCCAUAAUUGCUUUUUCAGGGGCAGUGACAAGCAUUUACCUCAGCAGGUGAAGAUUACCCUUCCCUCUGUUGUUUCCCUUACACUCAACACAGGAGCUGCUAACCUGAGUUACUUUCCUCUAGCAUCACUAUUAUACUGCACAACAAAGAUGUCAUGUUAAAACAUUAUCGCAAGAACCAUCCUUGCCAUACUUGGCCUAGUCUCUCAUAGCAAAGAGGCUUUUCAACACGUCUGCAAACCAUCUCCAGCAGGACCUUUCCCUGACCUGUGACAAGCAGGUGUGCAUCUUGUCUGUCGCAUACUGAGACUUGCAGUUGCCCGGGGUGCGGUGCUUCGGGGUCACCUUGGCUGAUCGAGGUCACUCCCCAGGCAUUUUGCUUUUUUGAUAAGCAAGGCCACAGCCUUGGACAGCAGCCCUGCAAUUUGUACUUGUGCUGCGUGGACUCAGACCUGUGUGCGUGCUCAGCUCGCACCCAGAUAAAAUAGCCUGUGAUGAAUUCCACUGUAAGAGCACUAAAGAGAAAGCUGUGUGAAUAGGGUUUGGAGGAGCAGAGGAAGUAAAUCUAGAGAGUGCUCGAAACAGCCUGUUAAGAAAAUACAGCAUAAUGCACAGCUCCUUGUCCUCAUCCACAAAGAGCACUCUGCAGGCAAAAGACACCAAAGCAGGUCAGGUGCCAAAGGCUGCUCUGCUCUCUGUAUUCAAUUAGCCAGAUGCAGCAAAAUAAUGAACUCUUCAUCGAGUGCAAGUCUCUCUUAUCACUUGUUUGACUUGAUGUCAUAGAAUCACCAUAGAUAAAGAAGGUGCAAAUGGUACCUCAUUGUACCAAAACCUCAAAAUAAUAUGCUGCUAAUGAAGGCAACGUUAUUCAUGUAAACAUUCAAACCCAUUGAAGGAAGCUAGAUGAUAGAAAUCUUCUUCCACUUGAAUUUGCAUGCAGAUGUAGUGAGUCAUGGCCUGAAGCAGUGAUGGAGCAGGGCCAGCCCAGGGGGCUCAGGUGCAUACAAUGCAAUCACUGAGUGACUGGAAGGGUGGAGCCAGGAUCCCCCCCUUCCCAGCCCUCAUUUAAGGGCUGGCAGUGGAGGUGAGGGUAUCUCACUGGAGAUCCCUGCCUAUCUGAGGCCUUCUGAAGGUAAGCAGCUUCUUUCCUUUAUUUCUGUGCCCACAGCUGUUGCAUUUGGGCAAAUCUUCACUUGCUGCAGCCUGGGACCUUGCUGCUCUGCUGUCAUUGCUGUGCUUCCCAUCGUGUUACAGUAGAUUUUACCCUUACUCACUAGAUCAGACUCACACCUGUUUGAUCUCUUACUUGGAACUAGAUGAUCUUUAAGGUCCCUUCCAACUGAAGCUGUCCUGGGGUGUAGUUCCUCUGCUGGAGCCUCAGAGUCAAGCUGUUUGGGUACAGUCCUGCACUAGUUUUCAUUCAGGAAAAAGCAGGAGAACUCAGGACUUUUGCAGCCCAGUAAGUUGAAGCAGUGGUAGUUUUCACCACCCAGCACUUGCCUGACUUUCAUAAAUGUCAAUGGAGGAAUUUCACUAACUACAAUAUAGCAAAUAUUACUGUGAUUUUUUUUUAAUUAUUUUUUUUCUGCCAAAAUAUUUGUAAGAGAGAAUCAGAGAUGUUUUUGAGGAAGGUGCAAAACAAGUAGGGAAGCUUAGGAUGCAGUCUGAACAAGAAGGUGGCACCGUGCUCUGUCUGAGCCCUGACCCAGGGAAGCUGUUGCAUGUAAAGGUGCUUUAUCACAUUACUCAAUAUUUUUGUUAGGAAUGAGGAUUUUUAUGUUACUUUCAGAUAGAGAACGACAUCAACCAUGUCUGACUGCCAUCGUUUUUGCCUGCUUAGGGAAACGAUCAAGUUUUGUCUAACCUGUAGGGGUGGAAAGAAAUAACAUUAUUUAACACCUCAACACAUCAAUUUCCUGUUUAGUUUGAUGGGCUGACUAUGAUUUACAGGGUUUCAUUAUGAGACUCAAUUAAAUAUAGAAUUUGUAAUAUUCAUGCAGUUUCUAUGCCAAAUAUACACAGUGCUGAUACAGCAGGGAUCUCAAAAUAUCAACCACCUGCUUGGGAGGAACAGAAUUAUGAAUGCAUCUCCUUAAACAAUAAUUCAUCAUACUCAGAAGUCUAAAGUUAAGCUACUCCAGAGCCAACACAGCUGCUUUAUCUUAUUGAAGGGGGUACUGCUGACUUACAGUGCUGGUUAUCGUUCUUGUAACUCCUGACUAAGAAUGCAGUCAAGGAUUUGGAGGCCUGGGAAGCAGCGCUGAGUGUGGCAUGAAGAAUCCUGGCUUUUGGAUGGGAACCCAGAACUGUGAACUGCACGUCCACAUUGCUCAUGCAGCGCACCAGGAAACCACUCCCAAGGUACCUCCGUACAUCACUGAGAGCUGCAGGGCAAUAACCCCUCCCUCUCCUCAAGGAUCUUCAUCCUCAAACCCCUCUGAAAUAUGAGGAUUAUAGGAGAGAGACUUCCCUGAGUGAGCUCAGAUGCAGUACCAGCUCACAAGUCAGAACGCACCUUUUUCCCUAGGGAAGGAUGCUCUACUCAGAAGAAUGAAGCUAACUUUUAAUCCUCGUUCCUUGGUUAUAAGAAGACUUGGAUCUGACAAGAUGUAGAUGUAUGAUUAUUAUUUUUCCAGACAGGCUACUGCUAUCCAAGCAAGACAGGCUGGAAGCAGCUGAGCUUGGGGGACCUGCUUACAGUGUGGGGAUAUAUGUUCAUAGCAAAAAUGAGACUUUGGAAUGUGAGUGGGGCCUGGGGGGAUAAGCAAUAGUGCAGCAGUAUGACAGUGGCUUCAAGUCCAUUUUCGCUGCAAGGAGGCAGAAUCCUGCUGUGCUCCUUUCAGACAGGUGUUAGUCUAAUUGGUCCUUUAGAACUUAUAUUUUACAGCUUCCUUAGCAGCCAGGUUCUCUGAUUAAGUAUCCUUCAUUAGGAAGCUUUUCCAGUCUCUAAUUUAAACCUUUGCUUCAUGUGGACCCAGGCACUUUCCUUCCCCCUUUGGUGACCGGGACAGUAUUUCAGAAGUACCUCUGCAAGCUUUUUGCGUGUUCAGACAACAAGGACCACCUCACUUUGAAGCUCUCCACAUUCACCUUGUUAUCUACUUAUUCCUUAUCAAAAUGAAAAAUGUUUUCCUUAUUUCUAAUGCCUGCUGCCCUCCCGGAAUUAGGGAUGCCUCAACCCUUCCUGUCCUUUUCUCACUGACUCGACACGUUUCGGGAUGGCUGCUCUGUCAGGUGGCCGUUGGAAGCUCUCAGUCAGCACUGGGGCUGUCGUAGUGUUAAUGAAUCUUGCUAAACUAUUUAGACAUCCUGCGAUAAAAACCACCAGAGGAAUUUCAAGCAGUCAGAGUACAAGCAAUUCUAACUCUGCAGCUACAAGCUGUUGAGAAAUAUCAAUAUUAUCGGUAGUAUCCUUGCUUUAAGACAGCUGCUUAUAGACAAAUCAGCUAUUUAUCUCUGGCAGGUUUGCCUUAUUGCUCUUUCCAAGGCUGUCUGCUGGGAGCACAUUCCUGACCCAGCACUCUUCCAGCCAUGGGAUGGAUGUGUUGGUGCAGCUCAGAAGGAUGUGGGCACCUCUGGGCGGCCGACUGCCAGCUCACAUCUAAACACCACGUUGGGCCAAAUAGCUCAGGAGUGUUUGUGUUACAGAAAAUGUGCGCUUUUGAGAAGGCUGGGAUUGCUUUCUCAUCAUCAGGAAAUAAACCUUAAGGCUUUAACAAAUCAGAGCAAGGAAGAGUGUUUUCAUCUGAACUAAUGUUGCCUGAAGCAUAAAAAUAGACCAAGGGCUGUUUUCAGACAUAACAACAGGCUCAGGGUAGUGUGAAAACACAGCAAGAAAACUUGAGAAUUUGAGAUUACAAGGCAGUUUGCUUAUCUCAUCCAAAAACAUCUUACAAUCAGCAUUUUCAUCUCAUUGACCAUCUCUUCUUACCUUUUGUUCCCAAGCAGUGCUGCAGGCUUGGUUCUGGGAUGGCUCCUCAGCAUCAGCAACGUCUGCCUCCCCCAUUUGACAGAAGCUCCAUUUCAGUGAUGCAGAAAAUUAAUCGGGGCAUUAUAUUUCCU